AUGUGGAUGAUGACAGAAAUUCGGAUUCCCACUGAUGUACAAUGUGAUUUCAUAACCAGCUACUUCUGACACAU
This is a non-coding RNA of Picea glauca (white spruce), 74 nucleotides long. The record is from Rfam. NCBI's taxonomy places the organism in Eukaryota, Viridiplantae, Streptophyta, Pinopsida, Pinales, Pinaceae.